This 441-nucleotide ribosomal RNA is filed under the name Sphingomonas sp. B1-235. Its description in RNAcentral is "bacterial SSU rRNA". It matches the Rfam family "Bacterial small subunit ribosomal RNA", at positions 9 to 495 of the family's 1533-position model. The record is from RNAcentral. Lineage: Bacteria; Pseudomonadati; Pseudomonadota; Alphaproteobacteria; Sphingomonadales; Sphingomonadaceae.
GAGUUUGAUCAUGGCUCAGAACGAACGCUGGCGGCAUGCCUAACACAUGCAAGUCGAACGAUGCUUUCGGGCAUAGUGGCGCACGGGUGCGUAACGCGUGGGAAUCUGCCCUUAGGUUCGGAAUAACAGUUAGAAAUGACUGCUAAUACCGGAUGAUGACGUAAGUCCAAAGAUUUAUCGCCUAGGGAUGAGCCCGCGUAGGAUUAGCUAGUUGGUGUGGUAAAGGCGCACCAAGGCGACGAUCCUUAGCUGGUCUGAGAGGAUGAUCAGCCACACUGGGACUGAGACACGGCCCAGACUCCUACGGGAGGCAGCAGUGGGGAAUAUUGGACAAUGGGCGCAAGCCUGAUCCAGCAAUGCCGCGUGAGUGAUGAAGGCCUUAGGGUGGUAAAGCUCUUUUACCCCGUGAUGAUAAUGGCAGUAGCGGGAGAAUAAGCCCCG